Non-coding RNA from Phthorimaea operculella (potato tuberworm), 72 nucleotides. NCBI's taxonomy places the organism in Eukaryota, Metazoa, Arthropoda, Insecta, Lepidoptera, Gelechiidae. The record is from the annotation of a GenBank genome assembly.
GCAUCGUAAGCUCAGUGGCAGAGCGGUGGGGCGUUUACCCAUGCGGCCCGGGUUCGAUUCCCGGUCGAUGUA